GACGAACGUUGGCGGCGUGCUUAAUACAUGCAAGUCAACUGAAGCAGUGGUAGCAAUAUCGCUGUGGAGGUGGCGCACGGGUGAGUAACACGUAGGUAAUCUGCCUUCAGGUCUGGCAUAACUCCGGGAAACCGGGGCUAAUAGCAGAUGAUGCAGCGGCUCGACAUCGAGACAGUUGUUAAAGCUAUGGCGCCUGAAGAUGAGCCUGCGUCUGAUUAGCUAGUUGGCGGGGUAACGGCCCACCAAGGCAACGAUCAGUAGCUGGUCUGAGAGGAUGAUCAGCCACACUGGAACUGAGACACGGUCCAGACUCCUACGGGAGGCAGCAGUAAGGAAUAUUGCUCAAUGGGAGAAAUCCUGAAGCAGCAACGCCGCGUGAGGGACGAAGGGCUUUUGCUUGUAAACCUCUGUAGUGAGAGAAGAAAAUCCCAAUCUUUGGGACAUGAUGGUAUCUCAAAAGUAAGCCCCGGCUAACUACGUG
RNAcentral lists this ribosomal RNA (481 nucleotides) under uncultured bacterium. RNAcentral describes it as "partial 16S ribosomal RNA". It matches the Rfam family "Bacterial small subunit ribosomal RNA", at positions 28 to 507 of the family's 1533-position model. The record is from RNAcentral.